GCAAAACGCGAAGAACCUUACCAGGCCUUGACAUGCAGAGAACUUUCCAGAGAUGGAUUGGUGCCUUCGGGAACUCUGACACAGGUGCUGCAUGGCUGUCGUCAGCUCGUGUCGUGAGAUGUUGGGUUAAGUCCCGUAACGAGCGCAACCCUUGUCCUUAGUUACCAGCACGUUAUGGUGGGCACUCUAAGGAGACUGCCGGUGACAAACCGGAGGAAGGUGGGGAGUGACGUCAAGUCAUCAUGGCCCUUACGGUCUGGGCGUACACACGUGCUACAAUGGUCGGUACAGAGGGUUGCCAAGCGCGAGGUGGAGCUAAUCUCACAAAACCGAUCGUAGUCCGGAUCGCAGUCUGCAACUCGACUGCGUGAAGUCGGAAUCGCUAGUAAUCGCGAAUCAGAAUGUCGCGGUGAAUACGUUCCCGGGUCUUGUACACACCG
Molecule: ribosomal RNA, 440 nt
Filed under: uncultured bacterium
Lineage: Bacteria
Description: bacterial SSU rRNA
Rfam family: Bacterial small subunit ribosomal RNA
Source: RNAcentral